Molecule: ribosomal RNA, 712 nt
Filed under: gamma proteobacterium IMCC15189
Lineage: Bacteria; Pseudomonadati; Pseudomonadota; Gammaproteobacteria
Description: bacterial SSU rRNA
Rfam family: Bacterial small subunit ribosomal RNA
Source: RNAcentral
GCGGCAGGCCUAACACAUGCAAGUCGAGCGCGAAAGCACUUCGGUGUGAGUAGAGCGGCGGACGGGUGAGUAAUGCUUGGGAAUCUGCCCAGUAGUGGGGGAUAACGUGUGGAAACGCACGCUAAUACCGCAUACGUCCUACGGGAGAAAGCAGGGGAUCUUCGGACCUUGCGCUAUUGGAUGAGCCCAAGUCGGAUUAGCUAGUUGGUGGGGUAAAGGCCUACCAAGGCGACGAUCCGUAGCUGGUCUGAGAGGAUGAUCAGCCACACUGGGACUGAGACACGGCCCAGACUCCUACGGGAGGCAGCAGUGGGGAAUAUUGCACAAUGGGCGAAAGCCUGAUGCAGCCAUGCCGCGUGUGUGAAGAAGGCUCUAGGGUUGUAAAGCACUUUCAGUAGGGAGGAAAAGUUUAAGAUUAAUACUCUUGAACCUUGACGUUACCUACAGAAGAAGCACCGGCAAACUCCGUGCCAGCAGCCGCGGUAAUACGGAGGGUGCGAGCGUUAAUCGGAAUUACUGGGCGUAAAGCGCGCGUAGGUGGUUUGAUAAGCUAGCUGUGAAAGCCCCGGGCUUAACCUGGGAACUGCAGUUAGAACUGUCUGGCUAGAGUACAGUAGAGGGUGGCGGAAUUUCCUGUGUAGCGGUGAAAUGCGUAGAUAUAGGAAGGAACAUCAGUGGCGAAGGCGGCCACCUGGACUGAUACUGACACUGA